UUCUUACACACCCCCAGCCUCCCCCCCCGCACCCCCCCCCCCCCCCCCCCCGCCCGCACUUGGCACCGUUUAGCUGCCUGCCUGCAAACUUAACAACCCCGGUUCUUGGUAUAAGCACUCAAAUUACCCUUCUUUCUACAUAUAAACACGGCCCGGGGUGUGCGGCUCUCCCCGGCCGCGGGGUCCCCCCGGCGCAGCCCGGCUCCUCCGCACCGGCCCCGGCCGGAGGAAGUUUCUGCUGCGGUACACGGCGGGAGAAAACGAGCCGGAUCCAGCACUCCCCCUCGCCGGGGCUCCCCCGGGCCAGCGCUCAGGCGGUGUUGACAGAAGAGGAUGGGUAGGAGAUAUCAAUGGCAGGCACACGUGUCCCAGGAGAGGGUGAGACACCAGCGGAGACGGAGCAAGAAAUGAGCCUCGGACAGCUGCAGUAAAGAAACUCAAACCCCUUUUGGAAAGUUGGGGGCACCUGCAGGCGGGGGGCACCCCAUGAAACACCCACCCCUCCGGGCAUCGGGGAAGAUCCAGCGGCUGUCAGAGCCUGGCGUGGGCCCCACCGGUGUUGGGGAAGGUGCAGAGCUGUGAGAGAGGCUGGGAGAGACCCUGCACCCCUCACGCACGGAGCUCCUGCAGCAAGGGGUGCAGGAGGAAAUCUCCCCUGAACGUCAGCUGCUCUGGUGGGGCUGCGCCAGGCUUUCUCUGCAGCCAAAAACGGGACGAGGAAGAAGAAAUACUGAACUCCUCCACAGCAGGGUGGGGGGCUCGUGCAUGCCAGACUUGGCGUGGGGAUGCUCCCACCUCCGUUGGCCCUCCCUGGGCUACCAACAAUUCCCACGCAGGCAGCUGAGCAGAGCCGAGCGGAGCCAGGAGCAGCCAGGGAGGGAGGGAAGGAGGGAGGCAGCAGCUGCAGUGACAGGGACCACAGCCUGGGCAUCCCCAUGCCGUUCAUUUUGCUGGUGACUGGGAGCACAAUGGCAUGGUGCAUCUUCUUAUGACACGGACAUGCAAGGGAGGAUGCUUGCAGGGGCAGAGCAGAGCAAAGGGGGAGAGGUUGGGAGAUGCCACUGAGGACCCCUCACACUGCCGGGAUGUGCCCAUGGGUAGAGGGGGACAUGUGAAGGGGACAACUGGGCACCCAGGGAACACAAUUGCUCCAGCAUCUAAAGGCCUGAAGGUUGGACAUAUGAAGCAAAUGUGGCUUGGGCUCAGAUGGGAGAGAAAACCCAUUUCUGGAUCACCUCUUCCAGUGGGAGACGACCUCAGAGGGGUCACGGAGGUCUGAGCUGACCGAGGGUUUGGCUGGGAGGCGUUAUGCUGACUUUUCUAAGUUGAUUGCAACCAAGCCAGCCCUGCUAGGGAUGGUUGUGAUGUUUAUUAAUGGUGGUGAAGGAAGGGACCAGCAGAUUUUUAGAUCCCCACAAGCAUAAGGAGCAGGGACGAGCCCUUUCCCAGGCGUUGGCCACGGACCAUGACCAUACCACUUCACCGUGGGGCUUCCCAGAUGUCGCUAUCGGGCUUCCCCGAUAGCCCCCUCCCCUGGCACCAAAAAACUCCACCACUCACUCAACCCAGGACACAGGCACGUCCCAGAAAAUUAAUGACGAAGAAAGGGAGAAUAAACCCCAAUGCAAGCAAGGCAGCACAGGCCCCUGCUCUGCCUUAGGGCUGCUCUCGCUAAAGGCUUGAUCGACCCUAUUUUGGGGACCUGUGAGAUGAACCCCAAAUUCAGAGCAAAUUCCAUUGGAUGGGGGUCUCUCAUUUCACCUUCAGACCAGGGACCCCCCGUUUCCACAGCUAGCUGCUGGGUGCAGACCCCUGGUCCCACCAUCGCAGCCUUUUGUCCCAAGCGAGAGCUUCCUUUGGGAAGGUGAUUUCACUCCUGUAUGCACUUUCCCUGCUUUACUUUGGGGUUGUGUCCCCCCUCCAGCCCCUUUAGCACUCCUUUACCUUGUUAAUAUCCUUUGACUGUCCUCACACCUGCAGACAAUCUGGUCCCCAACCACCUCCACCUCCCCCCCUCCUCAAAAGCUUCCCUCAGCUGUCUUUAAGUCGUAGCUGAAAUCUGCGGUAUGUAGGAGGAGAAAUUCAGUCUGACAGCAGUUUAAAACACCGCACUACUUGGCAGAUUUAAAUGCUAUUUUAAAUAUAAGCUAUGACACAAUGGACAAAAAUAGCAUUGAAAAUACCCUGUCAUGUUCCAUAUUGCGAGGAAUAGAGAAGCAGACCAGGCUAGAAAGGAGCAGAGAGAGGGGCCAGAUGGAGAGGAGAGGUUAUUUUGUUUGUUUUAAAGAAACUGGAUAAAUGUAUUUUGUAUGUGACUGUGUAAAUGUGUUUUAUGGAGCAUGGAGCCAAAAAAAUAAAAUAAAUAAAUAAACCUUCUCAUGAAAAA
This is a long non-coding RNA of Tyto alba (common barn owl), 2386 nucleotides long. RefSeq lists it as uncharacterized. Lineage: Eukaryota; Metazoa; Chordata; Aves; Strigiformes; Tytonidae. The transcript is spliced from 2 exons. The record is from RefSeq and is a predicted model, not a curated record.